This 427-nucleotide ribosomal RNA is filed under the name uncultured bacterium. Its description in RNAcentral is "partial 16S ribosomal RNA". It matches the Rfam family "Bacterial small subunit ribosomal RNA", at positions 355 to 774 of the family's 1533-position model. The record is from RNAcentral.
UGGGGCAUAUUGGACAAUGGGCGAAAGCCUGAUCCAGCCAUGCCGCGUGUGUGAAGAAGGUCUUCGGAUUGUAAAGCACUUUAAGUUGGGAGGAAGGGCAUUAACCUAAUACGUUAGUGUUUUGACGUUACCGACAGAAUAAGCACCGGCUAACUCUGUGCCAGCAGCCGCGGUAAUACAGAGGGUGCAAGCGUUAAUCGGAAUUACUGGGCGUAAAGCGCGCGUAGGUGGUUUGUUAAGUUGGAUGUGAAAUCCCCGGGCUCAACCUGGGAACUGCAUUCAAAACUGACUGACUAGAGUAUGGUAGAGGGUGGUGGAAUUUCCUGUGUAGCGGUGAAAUGCGUAGAUAUAGGAAGGAACACCAGUGGCGAAGGCGACCACCUGGACUAAUACUGACACUGAGGUGCGAAAGCGUGGGGAGCAAACA